GAUGAACGCUGGCGGCGUGCCUGAUACAUGCAAGUCGAGCGAAUGGAUUAAGAGCUUGCUCUUAUGAAGUUAGCGGCGGACGGGUGAGUAACCCGUGGGUAACCUGCCCAUAAGACUGGGAUAACUCCGGGAAACCGGGGCUAAUACCGGAUAACAUUUUGAACCGCAUGGUUCGAAAUUGAAAGGCGGCUUCGGCUGUCACUUAUGGAUGGACCCGCGUCGCAUUAGCUCGCUGGUGAGGUAACGGCUCACCAAGGCAACGAUGCGUAGCCGACCUGAGAGGGUGAACGGCCACACUGGGACUGAGACACGGCCCAGACUCCUACGGGAGGCAGCAGUAGGGAAUCUUCCGCAAUGGACGAAAGUCUGACGUAGCAACGCCGCGUGAGUGAUGAAAGCUUUCGGGUCGUAAAACUCUGUUGUUAGGGAAGAACAAGUGCUAGUUGAAUAAGCUGGCACCUUGACGGUACCUAACCAGAAAGCCACGGCUAACUACGUGCCAGCCGCCGCAGUAA
RNAcentral lists this ribosomal RNA (515 nucleotides) under uncultured bacterium. RNAcentral describes it as "partial 16S ribosomal RNA". It matches the Rfam family "Bacterial small subunit ribosomal RNA", at positions 28 to 523 of the family's 1533-position model. The record is from RNAcentral.